Molecule: unclassified non-coding RNA, 567 nt
Filed under: Hevea brasiliensis (rubber tree)
Lineage: Eukaryota; Viridiplantae; Streptophyta; Magnoliopsida; Malpighiales; Euphorbiaceae
Source: RNAcentral
GCGGCAAAAAGGACGCAUCAACUGCUCUGUUUUGCCUAUGUACGGUGAAGGAGAACAAAAUUAGAGCGGUACAAGCCGGGGUUAUGAAACCGUUAGUUGAAUUAAUGGCGGAUUUCAGUUCAAAUAUGGUUGAUAAAUCCGCGUUUGUGAUGAGCGUUUUGAUAUCAAUGGUAGAAGCAAGGGCGGCGGUGGUGGAGGAAGGCGGAAUACCGGUGCUGGUGGAGAUCGUGGAGGUCGGGUCACAGCGGCAGAAGGAAAUCGCGGCGGCGAUAUUGUUGCAACUGUGUGAAGAUAGCGUUAGUUACCGUACAAUGGUGGCUCGAGAAGGCGCAAUUCCACCAUUGGUUGCUUUGUCACAGUCUGGUACAAAUCGCGCCAAACAAAAGGCGGAGACACUGAUUGGUUUGUUACGGCAACCAAGAUCCGGUAACGCCGCUGCAACAACACCAGGCAGAGGUUCUGAUGUGUCGUUUUGAUUGUCUGUCAACCACAUGUUUUGUCUCCCUUUUUUGUUUUUUUCUUUAUUUUGUAUUAUAGUUACUCAAAUAUAACCACAAAACAUUGUCA